GAUGAACGCUGGCGGCGUGCCUAAUACAUGCAAGUCGAGCGAAUGGAUUGAGAGCUUGCUCUUAUGAAGUUAGCGGCGGACGGGUGAGUAACACGUGGGUAACCUGCCCAUAAGACUGGGAUAACUCCGGGAAACCGGGGCUAAUACCGGAUAACAUUUUGAACCGCAUGGUUCGAAAUUGAAAGGCGGCUUCGGCUGUCACUUAUGGAUGGACCCGCGUCGCAUUAGCUAGUUGGUGAGGUAACGGCUCACCAAGGCAACGAUGGGUAGCCGACCUGAGAGGGUGAUCGGCCACACUGGGACUGGGACACGGCCCAGACUCCUACGGGAGGCAGCAGUAAGGAAUCUUCCGCAAUGGACGAAAGUCUGACGGAGCAACGCCGCGUGAGUGAUGAAGGCUUUCGGGUCGUAAAACUCUGUUGUUAGGGAAGAACAAGUGCUAGUUGAAUAAGCUGGCACCUUGACGGUACCUAACCAGAAAGCCACGGCUAACUACGUGCCAGCCGCCGCCGUAA
RNAcentral lists this ribosomal RNA (515 nucleotides) under uncultured bacterium. Its description in RNAcentral is "partial 16S ribosomal RNA". It matches the Rfam family "Bacterial small subunit ribosomal RNA", at positions 28 to 523 of the family's 1533-position model. The record is from RNAcentral.